Molecule: small nucleolar RNA, 65 nt
Organism: Hyaena hyaena (striped hyena)
Lineage: Eukaryota; Metazoa; Chordata; Mammalia; Carnivora; Hyaenidae
Product: small nucleolar RNA SNORD2
Exons: 1
Source: RefSeq, a predicted model, not a curated record
CAAUUAAUGGUAAUCAUCUUUAGGAACUGGACUGAAAGGAAGAGAAUACACUUUGCUGAUCAGUG